GCCGGGGUGGCGGAACUGGCAGACGCACGGGACUUAAAAUCCCGGGCCCGCAAGGGCGUGUGGGUUCGAUCCCCGCCCCCGGCA
RNAcentral lists this transfer RNA (84 nucleotides) under Acidobacteriota bacterium. RNAcentral describes it as "Acidobacteria bacterium tRNA-Leu". It matches the Rfam family "tRNA". Rfam says of the family: Transfer RNA (tRNA) molecules are approximately 80 nucleotides in length. Their secondary structure includes four short double-helical elements and three loops (D, anti-codon, and T loops). The record is from RNAcentral. Lineage: Bacteria; Pseudomonadati; Acidobacteriota.